AAUAAGUACAGUUUUACACUAUAUACGUUCAAAAUUUGACCGUUCGUCUUAUUUAAAAAUUUUGUAUGAUUAGUAUUUUUAUUGCUAUUAGAUAAUAAAACAUGAAUAGUACUUUAUGUGUGACUAAAUAUUUUUAAAUUUUUCGCAAAUUUUUUAAAUAAGACGGACGGUUAAAUGUUGGGUACGGAUAUUCACGGCUGCACUUAUU
This is a non-coding RNA of Oryza glumipatula, 208 nucleotides long. NCBI's taxonomy places the organism in Eukaryota, Viridiplantae, Streptophyta, Magnoliopsida, Poales, Poaceae. The record is from Rfam.